RNAcentral lists this ribosomal RNA (219 nucleotides) under uncultured bacterium. RNAcentral's name for it is "partial 16S ribosomal RNA". It matches the Rfam family "Bacterial small subunit ribosomal RNA", at positions 1281 to 1500 of the family's 1533-position model. The record is from RNAcentral.
GACCGUCCCAGUUCGGACNGUAGUCUGCAACCCGACUACACGAAGCUGGAAUCGCAGUAAUCGCGAAUCAGAAUGUCGCGGUGAAUACGUUCCCGGGUCUUGUACACACCGCCCGUCACACCAUGGGAGUCGGGAAUGCCCGAAGUCAGUGACCCAACCAUAUGGAGGGAGCUGCCGAAGGCAGGUCUGAUAACUGGGGUGAAGUCGUAACAAGGUAGC